RNAcentral lists this unclassified non-coding RNA (42 nucleotides) under Saccharomyces cerevisiae (brewer's yeast). RNAcentral describes it as "ASH1 E3 (42 nt-TL/TLR) from Saccharomyces cerevisiae (PDB 5M0H, chain A)". Lineage: Eukaryota; Fungi; Ascomycota; Saccharomycetes; Saccharomycetales; Saccharomycetaceae. The record is from RNAcentral.
GAUAACUGAAUCGCUAAGGAUGAAAGUCUAUGCGACAUUAUC